GUGGGGAAUAUUGGACAAUGGGCGCAAGCCUGAUCCAGCCAUGCCGCGUGUGUGAUGAAGGCCUUAGGGUUGUAAAGCACUUUUGUCCGGGAAGAUAAUGACUGUACCGGAAGAAUAAGCCCCGGCUAACUUCGUGCCAGCAGCCGCGGUAAUACGAAGGGGGCUAGCGUUGCUCGGAAUCACUGGGCGUAAAGGGCGCGUAGGCGGACUCUUAAGUCGGGGGUGAAAGCCCAGGGCUCAACCCUGGAAUUGCGUUCGAUACUGAGAGUCUUGAGUUCGGAAGAGGUUGGUGGAACUGCGAGUGUAGAGGUGAAAUUCGUAGAUAUUCGCAAGAACACCAGUGGCGAAGGCGGCCAACUGGUCCGAUACUGACGCUGAGGCGCGAAAGCGUGGGGAGCAAACAGGAUUAGAUACCCCAGUAGUCC
Molecule: ribosomal RNA, 425 nt
Filed under: uncultured bacterium
Lineage: Bacteria
Description: partial 16S ribosomal RNA
Rfam family: Bacterial small subunit ribosomal RNA
Source: RNAcentral